GACGAACGCUGGCGGCGUGCUUAACACAUGCAAGUCGAACGGGAAGGCCCUGCUUUUGUGGGGUGCUCGAGUGGCGAACGGGUGAGUAACACGUGAGUAACCUGCCCUUGACUUUGGGAUAACUUCAGGAAACUGGGGCUAAUACCGGAUAGGAGCUCCUGCUGCAUGGUGGGGGUUGGAAAGUUUCGGCGGUUGGGGAUGGACUCGCGGCUUAUCAGCUUGUUGGUGGGGUAGUGGCUUACCAAGGCUUUGACGGGUAGCCGGCCUGAGAGGGUGACCGGCCACAUUGGGACUGAGAUACGGCCCAGACUCCUACGGGAGGCAGCAGUGGGGAAUAUUGCACAAUGGGCGGAGGCCUGAUGCAGCAACGCCGCGUGCGGGAUGACGGCCUUCGGGUUGUAAACCGCUUUCGCCUGUGACGAAGCGUGAGUGACGGUAAUGGGUAAAGAAGCACCGGCUAACUACGUG
RNAcentral lists this ribosomal RNA (468 nucleotides) under uncultured bacterium. RNAcentral describes it as "partial 16S ribosomal RNA". It matches the Rfam family "Bacterial small subunit ribosomal RNA", at positions 28 to 507 of the family's 1533-position model. The record is from RNAcentral.